GAGGCUGGAGCCAGGCGGCACGGCAACCGGCUGCAACCCGGUCCAAAUGGGUACGACUCCCACCGGCCUCU
RNAcentral lists this transfer RNA (71 nucleotides) under Planctomycetaceae bacterium. RNAcentral's name for it is "tRNA-Cys". It matches the Rfam family "tRNA". From Rfam's summary of the family: Transfer RNA (tRNA) molecules are approximately 80 nucleotides in length. Their secondary structure includes four short double-helical elements and three loops (D, anti-codon, and T loops). Further hydrogen bonds mediate the characteristic L-shaped molecular structure. tRNAs have two regions of fundamental functional importance: the anti-codon, which is responsible for specific mRNA codon recognition, and the 3' end, to which the tRNAs corresponding amino acid is attached (by aminoacyl-tRNA synthetases). tRNAs cope with the degeneracy of the genetic code in two manners: having more than one tRNA (with a specific anti-codon) for a particular amino acid; and 'wobble' base-pairing, i.e. permitting non-standard base-pairing at the 3rd anti-codon position. The record is from RNAcentral. Lineage: Bacteria; Pseudomonadati; Planctomycetota; Planctomycetia; Planctomycetales; Planctomycetaceae.